Molecule: transfer RNA, 76 nt
Filed under: Eggerthellaceae bacterium
Lineage: Bacteria; Bacillati; Actinomycetota; Coriobacteriia; Eggerthellales; Eggerthellaceae
Also listed under: 2 other names
Description: tRNA-Ala
Rfam family: tRNA
About the family: Transfer RNA (tRNA) molecules are approximately 80 nucleotides in length. Their secondary structure includes four short double-helical elements and three loops (D, anti-codon, and T loops).
Source: RNAcentral
GGGGAUAUAGCUCAGCUGGGAGAGCAUCGCGUUCGCAACGCGGGGGUCACGGGUUCGAAUCCCGCUAUCUCCACCA